Non-coding RNA from Paramuricea clavata, 213 nucleotides. NCBI's taxonomy places the organism in Eukaryota, Metazoa, Cnidaria, Anthozoa, Malacalcyonacea, Plexauridae. The record is from the annotation of a GenBank genome assembly.
UGACAGUUACAUUGUACAAGAAGGUGAAGAAAAUCCCAAAAGUGGCGAAACACAAACGAGACUUGGUCCCAUGCAAAUUGCUUACCAUUAGACAAGAAACAAAAUCAAGAAACAAAGACAAGCAGAUUAAAUAAAAAUACAAGAAAAUUAAAAAGGCAGAGAAUCAAAGGCAGAGAGAAUGAAAAAUUGAGGAUAUUGUUUUACUGAGUCGUG